CGUGCCGAGCGCAAGAAGUCUGGUAGCGAAGAAGAGAAGGAUAACUUUGCCAACAAACAUGCCGGAGGCACACAAACGAAAACGAAUCCACAACAUGAAUGUGGUAGAUCAUCUAUUGGAGCACAGAUUUGAGACCCUUAGUCUGCAGGAAAAAUUAGAGAAAGACAUGCCUGUCCUCAGAAAAUGGUGGUGCACAGUACUGCUUGAGAACUUCCACCUGGAUGGGCACGGCAGAAGGUUCCCACACUUCAUGGAGGAGGCCAAACAAAUGGCUGCUGAACUACUUCCACCAGUCUACAGACUGAAGCGAAAAAGAGAAGUGAAUGACGUUUCCAGUGACAGAAUACAAAUAAUAUAUUGUAUAGGCUUAAUAUUGAUUUGACUGUUUGAUUAUUUUGACAGUGAGUUGGAGCUGAUGGCAGUCAGCAUGAAGAAGCUAUAUCUUUAAGAUUCUGUAGAUUAUUUGUUAAAUAAAUUGUGAGGAAACUUU
This is a long non-coding RNA of Gadus morhua (Atlantic cod), 490 nucleotides long. RefSeq lists it as uncharacterized. NCBI's taxonomy places the organism in Eukaryota, Metazoa, Chordata, Actinopteri, Gadiformes, Gadidae. The transcript has 3 exons. The record is from RefSeq and is a predicted model, not a curated record.